RNAcentral lists this ribosomal RNA (492 nucleotides) under uncultured bacterium. RNAcentral's name for it is "partial 16S ribosomal RNA". It matches the Rfam family "Bacterial small subunit ribosomal RNA", at positions 29 to 507 of the family's 1533-position model. The record is from RNAcentral.
AGUGAACGCUGGCGGUAGGCCUAACACAUGCAAGUCGAACGGCAGCACAGUAAGAGCUUGCUCUUACGGGUGGCGAGUGGCGGACGGGUGAGGAAUACAUCGGAAUCUACUUUUUCGUGGGGGAUAACGUAGGGAAACUUACGCUAAUACCGCAUACGACCUACGGGUGAAAGCAGGGGAUCUUCGGACCUUGCGCGAUUGAAUGAGCCGAUGUCGGAUUAGCUAGUUGGCGGGGUAAAGGCCCACCAAGGCGACGAUCCGUAGCUGGUCUGAGAGGAUGAUCAGCCACACUGGAACUUAGACACGGUCCAGACUCCUACGGGAGGCAGCAGUGGGGAAUAUUGGACAAUGGGCGCAAGCCUGAUCCAGCCAUACCGCGUGGGUGAAGAAGGCCUUCGGGUUGUAAAGCCCUUUUGUUGGGAAAGAAAAGCAGCAGGUUAAUACCCCGCUGUUCUGACGGUACCCAAAGAAUAAGCACCGGCUAACUUCGCG